Molecule: small nuclear RNA, 102 nt
Organism: Pteronotus mesoamericanus
Lineage: Eukaryota; Metazoa; Chordata; Mammalia; Chiroptera; Mormoopidae
Source: RefSeq, a predicted model, not a curated record
GUGCUCGCUUUGGCAGCACACAUAAUAAAAUUGGAACUAUUCAGAGAAGAUUAGCAUGGCCCUACACAAGGAAUUAACCAAUGAGUGCAUAAAUAAGUGGAA